AGAGUUUGAUCAUGGCUCAGAUUGAACGCUGGCGGCAGGCCUAACACAUGCAAGUCGAACGGUAACAGGAAGCAGCUUGCUGCUUCGCUGACGAGUGGCGGACGGGUGAGUAAUGUCUGGGAAACUGCCUGAUGGAGGGGGAUAACUACUGGAAACGGUAGCUAAUACCGCAUAAUGUCGCAAGACCAAAGAGGGGGACCUUCGGGCCUCUUGCCAUCGGAUGUGCCCAGAUGGGAUUAGCUUGUUGGUGGGGUAACGGCUCACCAAGGCGACGAUCCCUAGCUGGUCUGAGAGGAUGACCAGCCACACUGGAACUGAGACACGGUCCAGACUCCUACGGGAGGCAGCAGUGGGGAAUAUUGCACAAUGGGCGCAAGCCUGAUGCAGCCAUGCCGCGUGUAUGAAGAAGGCCUUCGGGUUGUAAAGUACUUUCAGCGGGGAGGAAGGGAGUAAAGUUAAUACCUUUGCUCAUUGACGUUACCCGCAGAAGAAGCACCGGCUAACUCCGUGCCAGCAGCCGCGGUAAUACGGAGGGUGCAAGCGUUAAUCGGAAUUACUGGGCGUAAAGCGCACGCAGGCGGUUUGUUAAGUCAGAUGUGAAAUCCCCGGGCUCAACCUGGGAACUGCAUCUGAUACUGGCAAGCUUGAGUCUCGUAGAGGGGGGUAGAAUUCCAGGUGUAGCGGUGAAAUGCGUAGAGAUCUGGAGGAAUACCGGUGGCGAAGGCGGCCCCCUGGACGAAGACUGACGCUCAGGUGCGAAAGCGUGGGGAGCAAACAGGAUUAGAUACCCUGGUAGUCCACGCCGUAAACGAUGUCGACUUGGAGGUUGUGCCCUUGAGGCGUGGCUUCCGGAGCUAACGCGUUAAGUCGACCGCCUGGGGAGUACGGCCGCAAGGUUAAAACUCAAAUGAAUUGACGGGGGCCCGCACAAGCGGUGGAGCAUGUGGUUUAAUUCGAUGCAACGCGAAGAACCUUACCUGGUCUUGACAUCCACAGAACUUUCCAGAGAUGGAUUGGUGCCUUCGGGAACUGUGAGACAGGUGCUGCAUGGCUGUCGUCAGCUCGUGUUGUGAAAUGUUGGGUUAAGUCCCGCAACGAGCGCAACCCUUAUCCUUUGUUGCCAGCGGUCCGGCCGGGAACUCAAAGGAGACUGCCAGUGAUAAACUGGAGGAAGGUGGGGAUGACGUCAAGUCAUCAUGGCCCUUACGACCAGGGCUACACACGUGCUACAAUGGCGCAUACAAAGAGAAGCGACCUCGCGAGAGCAAGCGGACCUCAUAAAGUGCGUCGUAGUCCGGAUUGGAGUCUGCAACUCGACUCCAUGAAGUCGGAAUCGCUAGUAAUCGUGGAUCAGAAUGCCACGGUGAAUACGUUCCCGGGCCUUGUACACACCGCCCGUCACACCAUGGGAGUGGGUUGCAAAAGAAGUAGGUAGCUUAACCUUCGGGAGAGCGCUUACCACUUUGUGAUUCAUGACUGGGGUGAAGUCGUAACAAGGUAACCGUAGGGGAACCUGCGGUUG
RNAcentral lists this ribosomal RNA (1522 nucleotides) under Escherichia coli. RNAcentral describes it as "bacterial SSU rRNA". It matches the Rfam family "Bacterial small subunit ribosomal RNA". The record is from RNAcentral. Lineage: Bacteria; Pseudomonadati; Pseudomonadota; Gammaproteobacteria; Enterobacterales; Enterobacteriaceae.